Molecule: ribosomal RNA, 254 nt
Filed under: uncultured bacterium
Lineage: Bacteria
Description: partial 16S ribosomal RNA
Rfam family: Bacterial small subunit ribosomal RNA
Source: RNAcentral
UACGUAGGGUGCGAGCGUUGUCCGGAAUUAUUGGGCGUAAAGAGCCCGUAGGCGGUGUGUCACGUCGGCCGUGAAAACCUGCAGCUUAACUGUGGGCGUGCGGUCGAUACGGGCAUCACUGGAGUUCGGCAGGGGAGACUGGAAUUCCUGGUGUAGCGGUGAAAUGCGCAGAUAUCAGGAGGAACACCGGUGGCGAAGGCGGGUCUCUGGGCCGAUACUGACGCUGAGGAGCGAAAGCGUGGGGAGCAAACAGG